This is a non-coding RNA of Acanthosepion pharaonis, 99 nucleotides long. NCBI's taxonomy places the organism in Eukaryota, Metazoa, Mollusca, Cephalopoda, Sepiida, Sepiidae. The record is from the annotation of a GenBank genome assembly.
GCUAAAACAACAGUUCCCACAUGAUCACCAAUGUUAAGCAAUGUCAAGCCUAGUCAGUACUUAGAUGGGUGACCACUUAGGAAUACCAAGUGCUGUAAG